RNAcentral lists this long non-coding RNA (480 nucleotides) under Homo sapiens (human). RNAcentral's name for it is "non-protein coding lnc-TRIM61-6:1". Lineage: Eukaryota; Metazoa; Chordata; Mammalia; Primates; Hominidae. The record is from RNAcentral.
AUGAUGAACACAAAGGGAAAGAGGAGAGGCGCCCGAUAUAUGUUCUCUAGGCCCUUUAGAAAACAUGGACUUGUUCCUUUGGCCACGUAUAUGCGAAUCUAUAAGAAAGAUGAUAUUGUAGACACCAAGGGAAUGGGUACUGUUCAAAAGGAAUGCCCCACAAGUGUUAGCAUGGCAAAACUGGAAGAGUCUACAAUGUUACCCAGCAUGCUGUUGGCAUUGUUGUAAACAAACAAGUUAAGGGCAAGAUUCUUGCCAAGAGAAUUAAUGUGCGUAUUGAGCACAUUAAACACUGUGAGCCGAGAUAGCUUCCUGAAACACAUGAAGGAAAAUGAUCAGAAAAAGAAAGAAGCCAAAGAGAAAGGUACCUGGGUUCAACUAAAGCGCCAGCCUGCUCCACCCAGAGAAGCACACUUUGUGAGAACCAAUGGGAAGGAGUCUGAGCUGCUGGAACCUAUUCCCUAUGAAUUCAUGGCAUAA